Molecule: transfer RNA, 71 nt
Filed under: Moema staecki
Lineage: Eukaryota; Metazoa; Chordata; Actinopteri; Cyprinodontiformes; Rivulidae
Description: tRNA-Gln
Rfam family: tRNA
About the family: Transfer RNA (tRNA) molecules are approximately 80 nucleotides in length. Their secondary structure includes four short double-helical elements and three loops (D, anti-codon, and T loops). Further hydrogen bonds mediate the characteristic L-shaped molecular structure. tRNAs have two regions of fundamental functional importance: the anti-codon, which is responsible for specific mRNA codon recognition, and the 3' end, to which the tRNAs corresponding amino acid is attached (by aminoacyl-tRNA synthetases). tRNAs cope with the degeneracy of the genetic code in two manners: having more than one tRNA (with a specific anti-codon) for a particular amino acid; and 'wobble' base-pairing, i.e. permitting non-standard base-pairing at the 3rd anti-codon position.
Source: RNAcentral
UAGAAAGUAGUGUUUUGGAUGCACUAAGAGUUUUGAUCUCUUUAGGUUGGGUUCAAUUCCCUUCUUUUUAA